RNAcentral lists this transfer RNA (59 nucleotides) under Loxodonta africana (African savanna elephant). It matches the Rfam family "tRNA", at positions 7 to 64 of the family's 71-position model. From Rfam's summary of the family: Transfer RNA (tRNA) molecules are approximately 80 nucleotides in length. Their secondary structure includes four short double-helical elements and three loops (D, anti-codon, and T loops). Further hydrogen bonds mediate the characteristic L-shaped molecular structure. tRNAs have two regions of fundamental functional importance: the anti-codon, which is responsible for specific mRNA codon recognition, and the 3' end, to which the tRNAs corresponding amino acid is attached (by aminoacyl-tRNA synthetases). tRNAs cope with the degeneracy of the genetic code in two manners: having more than one tRNA (with a specific anti-codon) for a particular amino acid; and 'wobble' base-pairing, i.e. permitting non-standard base-pairing at the 3rd anti-codon position. Lineage: Eukaryota; Metazoa; Chordata; Mammalia; Proboscidea; Elephantidae. The record is from Rfam by way of RNAcentral.
GUGGCUCAAUGGUUAAGUACUCAGCUACUAACUGAAAGGUUGGUGGUUCGAACCCACUC